CGGCGUCGAGCGGCGGACGGGUGAGUAAUGCCUAGGAAAUUGCCCUGAUGUGGGGGAUAACCAUUGGAAACGAUGGCUAAUACCGCAUGAUGCCUACGGGCCAAAGAGGGGGACCUUCGGGCCUCUCGCGUCAGGAUAUGCCUAGGUGGGAUUAGCUAGUUGGUGAGGUAAGGGCUCACCAAGGCGACGAUCCCUAGCUGGUCUGAGAGGAUGAUCAGCCACACUGGAACUGAGACACGGUCCAGACUCCUACGGGAGGCAGCAGUGGGGAAUAUUGCACAAUG
Molecule: ribosomal RNA, 284 nt
Filed under: Vibrio alginolyticus
Lineage: Bacteria; Pseudomonadati; Pseudomonadota; Gammaproteobacteria; Vibrionales; Vibrionaceae
Description: partial 16S ribosomal RNA
Rfam family: Bacterial small subunit ribosomal RNA
Source: RNAcentral